CGGACCUACGGGGCGCAGCAGUGGGGGAUAUUGCACAAUGGGGGGAACCCUGAUGCAGCGACGCCGCGUGGGUGAAGGAGCGUUUCGGCGCGUAAAGCCCUAUCGGCAGGGAAGAAGAUGACGGUACCUGACCAAGAAGCCCCGGCUAACUACGUGCCAGCAGCCGCGGUAAUACGUAGGGGGCAAGCGUUAUCCGGAUUUACUGGGUGUAAAGGGAGCGUAGACGGUUGUGCAAGUCUGAAGUGAAAGCCCGCGGCUCAAC
This 262-nucleotide ribosomal RNA is filed under the name uncultured bacterium. RNAcentral's name for it is "partial 16S ribosomal RNA". It matches the Rfam family "Bacterial small subunit ribosomal RNA", at positions 334 to 613 of the family's 1533-position model. The record is from RNAcentral.